RNAcentral lists this long non-coding RNA (260 nucleotides) under Homo sapiens (human). RNAcentral's name for it is "non-protein coding lnc-MFSD8-12:3". Lineage: Eukaryota; Metazoa; Chordata; Mammalia; Primates; Hominidae. The record is from RNAcentral.
AGACCUUCCUUUGCGGCCGGCCCAGGGUUCUAGACUUCGGGGCCAAGGGCCGGAAGCGCUGCGGAGAGUUUAGUUCGGGCGGGAGGCUGUCUCGGGCCCACUCUCGGAAGAACUUCUGCAAGACGGGUUGAAACACCAUUUCAGUCUGUUCCCAUACUUAAGCAGUUUCAGGUCUCUGGACAGAAAUUAACAAUGUGAACAAGUUGGGUGAUGAAGCACAGAUAAAGUCCUUAAAAUACAUCUUAAGUUUACAGUCCCUU